This 497-nucleotide ribosomal RNA is filed under the name uncultured bacterium. RNAcentral describes it as "partial 16S ribosomal RNA". It matches the Rfam family "Bacterial small subunit ribosomal RNA", at positions 28 to 507 of the family's 1533-position model. The record is from RNAcentral.
GAUGAACGCUGGCGGCGUGCCUAAUACAUGCAAGUCGAGCGAACGGACGAGAAGCUUGCUUCUCUGAUGUUAGCGGCGGACGGGUGAGUAACACGUGGAUAACCUACCUAUAAGACUGGGAUAACUUCGGGAAACCGGAGCUAAUACCGGAUAAUAUUUUGAACCGCAUGGCUCAAAUGUGAAAGACGGUCUUGCUGUCACUUAUAGAUGGAUCCGCGCUGCAUUAGCUAGUUGGUAAGGUAACGGCUUACCAAGGCAACGAUGCAUAGCCGACCUGAGAGGGUGAUCGGCCACACUGGAACUGAGACACGGUCCAGACUCCUACGGGAGGCAGCAGUAGGGAAUCUUCCGCAAUGGGCGAAAGCCUGACGGAGCAACGCCGCGUGAGUGAUGAAGGUCUUCGGAUCGUAAAACUCUGUUAUUAGGGAAGAACAUAUGUGUAAGUAACUGUGCACAUCUUGACGGUACCUAAUCAGAAAGCCACGGCUAACUACGUG